GAUGAAGCACUUCAGCUGCAGGCGCCACAGUUUUACAACACAGAGCAGGGACAAGGUUCUGCACCCAUGAAAAAAACGGGGUUAAAAGAAGAAACAUCCCUGCAUAUUUAAUCACUUAAAAAAGACAGCGAGGACUGAAAUGGAAAUACAAAGAGUCACUGGACGGUCCUGCAACGUUAGUGAUGUGUAAAAGUAACGGAGGAGGUGGAAAAGAUGAGAGAGUUUCCUCCUCUUCCAGCAAACGUGGCCUCUGUGACGUCUCGACUCUCCGUCUCUUCUGACAGCGAAGAUUUUCUUCAAAUCUUUCAUCUCUGCCCAACAGCUGUGCAGACGAUCUAACGGGAGCACGAACGAAAGACGUGAGCUGUGACUGUUCCUGGAAAAGAAAUGGCCGGGUUUAGUGACCCACUGAAGUGCAGACGACCACUGCUUUGCCCGUGACCUCAUCAACGUAGGGGACCUUGUUGAUCAUGGCAACGGCGUCAUUCAAGACAACGACCACUGAUUCUCCAGUUCAGGUUCUGCCUCCUGAGGUCGAGCUUCACUGAACUUUGAAUGAACAGGUGAACAGCUCUUUGUGCAGCAGUGGUGGUGCAGCUCCAGCUUUCUGCAGAUGGUCUUUAUUUUUACAGUUUCAGAAAGAAAGCUGCAACCAGCAUUACAACAGGAAACCGAACAGCCCAUUCAAACAGACUGGAAUGGACACUACACUAGUAAAUUCAAGGGGCUGAGCAUCAGUUUCAUUUGACUGUGGUAUACCCCAAGGAUCUGUGUUUGGUACCCUGCUCUUCUUUACACGCAUCUCUCUCCACAUUUCCUGUCUUGUACUUGAUCACAGCUGUAGUUGAUCCCGAACUGUUCUUCUUUACAUCACUUGACGUUAUGUUUGUUUUUCUUAA
Hippoglossus stenolepis (Pacific halibut) is the source of this 899-nucleotide long non-coding RNA. RefSeq lists it as uncharacterized. The transcript is spliced from 3 exons. The record is from RefSeq and is a predicted model, not a curated record. Lineage: Eukaryota; Metazoa; Chordata; Actinopteri; Pleuronectiformes; Pleuronectidae.